GUCACGCUGUAAACGAUGUCUACUGGCCGUUGGCCUCCUUGAGGGGUUAGUGGCGCAGCUAACGCGAUAAGUAGACCGCCUGGGGAGUACGGCCGCAAGGUUAAAACUCAAAUGAAUUGACGGGGGCCCGCACAAGCGGUGCAGCAUGUGGUUUAAUUCGACGCAACGCGAAGAACCUUACCUACUCUUGACAUCCUGCGAAGCCUGUAGAGAUAUGGGUGUGCCUUCGGGAGCGCAGAGACAGGUGCUGCAUGGCUGUCGU
Molecule: ribosomal RNA, 262 nt
Filed under: uncultured bacterium
Lineage: Bacteria
Description: partial 16S ribosomal RNA
Rfam family: Bacterial small subunit ribosomal RNA
Source: RNAcentral